RNAcentral lists this ribosomal RNA (1373 nucleotides) under metagenome. RNAcentral describes it as "bacterial SSU rRNA". It matches the Rfam family "Bacterial small subunit ribosomal RNA", at positions 131 to 1498 of the family's 1533-position model. The record is from RNAcentral.
UUUCAGUGGGGGAUAACGUAGCGAAAGUUACGCUAAUACCGCAUAUUCUGUGAGUAGGAAAGCAGGGGAUCGCAAGACCUUGCGCUGAUUGAGCGGCCGAUAUCAGAUUAGCUAGUUGGUGAGGUAAAGGCUCACCAAGGCGACGAUCUGUAGCGGGUCUGAGAGGAUGAUCCGCCACACUGGAACUGAGACACGGUCCAGACUCCUACGGGAGGCAGCAGUGGGGAAUUUUGGACAAUGGGCGCAAGCCUGAUCCAGCCAUGCCGCGUGAGUGAAGAAGGCCUUCGGGUUGUAAAGCUCUUUCAGCCGGGAAGAAAACGUAUGGGUUAAUACCCUGUGUGGAUGACGGUACCGGAAUAAGAAGCACCGGCUAACUACGUGCCAGCAGCCGCGGUAAUACGUAGGGUGCGAGCGUUAAUCGGAAUUACUGGGCGUAAAGCGUGCGCAGGCGGUUUUGUAAGAUAGGCGUGAAAUCCCCGGGCUCAACCUGGGAACUGCGUUUAUGACUGCAAGGCUAGAGUAUGGCAGAGGGGGGUGGAAUUCCACGUGUAGCAGUGAAAUGCGUAGAGAUGUGGAGGAACACCGAUGGCGAAGGCAGCCCCCUGGGCCAAUACUGACGCUCAUGCACGAAAGCGUGGGUAGCAAACAGGAUUAGAUACCCUGGUAGUCCACGCCCUAAACGAUGUCAACUAGGUGUUGGGAGGGUAAAACCUUUUAGUACCGGAGCUAACGCGUGAAGUUGACCGCCAGGGGAGUACGGCCGCAAGGUUAAAACUCAAAGGAAUUGACGGGGACCCGCACAAGCGGUGGAUGAUGUGGAUUAAUUCGAUGCAACGCGAAAAACCUUACCUACCCUUGACAUGUCCGGAAGCCCUUAGAGAUUUGGGUGUGCUCGAAAGAGAGCCGGAACACAGGUGCUGCAUGGCUGUCGUCAGCUCGUGUCGUGAGAUGUUGGGUUAAGUCCCGCAACGAGCGCAACCCUUGUCGUUAAUUGCCAUCAUUUAGUUGGGCACUUUAACGAGACUGCCGGUGACAAACCGGAGGAAGGUGGGGAUGACGUCAAGUCCUCAUGGCCCUUAUGGGUAGGGCUUCACACGUCAUACAAUGGUCGGUACAAAGGGUUGCCAACCCGCGAGGGGGAGCUAAUCCCAGAAAGCCGAUCGUAGUCCGGAUCGUAGGCUGCAACUCGCCUGCGUGAAGUCGGAAUCGCUAGUAAUCGUGGAUCAGCAUGUCACGGUGAAUACGUUCCCGGGUCUUGUACACACCGCCCGUCACACCAUGGGAGCGGGUUCCGCCAGAAGUAGGUAGCCUAACCGCAAGGAGGGCGCUUACCACGGCGGGGUUCGUGACUGGGGUGAAGUCGGAACAAGGUA